Molecule: ribosomal RNA, 214 nt
Filed under: uncultured bacterium
Lineage: Bacteria
Description: partial 16S ribosomal RNA
Rfam family: Bacterial small subunit ribosomal RNA
Source: RNAcentral
GAUGAACGCUAGCGGCAGGCCUAAUACAUGCAAGCCGAACGGCAAGUUGAGUAGCAAUACUUGACCUAGAGUGGCGUAAGGGUGCGUAACACGUAUGCAAUCUGCCCUCAACAGGAGGAUAGCUCCCGAAAGGGGAAUUAACCCUCCAUGGGAUCUUAGAGUGGCAUCACUUAGAGAUUAAACCGCAAGGGGUUGAGGAUGAGCAUGCGCAUGA